UACGUAGGGUCCGAGCGUUGUCCGGAAUUAUUGGGCGUAAAGAGCUCGUAGGCGGUUUGUCACGUCUGCUGUGAAAACUGGAGGCUCAACCUCCAGCCUGCAGUGGGUACGGGCAGACUAGAGUGCGGUAGGGGAGAAUGGAAUUCCUGGUGUAGCGGUGGAAUGCGCAGAUGUCAGGAGGAACACCGAUGGCGAAGGCAGUUCUCUGGGCCGUAACUGACGCUGAGGAGCGAAAGCGUGGGGAGCGAACAGG
Molecule: ribosomal RNA, 253 nt
Filed under: uncultured bacterium
Lineage: Bacteria
Description: partial 16S ribosomal RNA
Rfam family: Bacterial small subunit ribosomal RNA
Source: RNAcentral